RNA transcript from Vicia villosa (hairy vetch), 2876 nucleotides. It is a transcript of the gene named magnesium-chelatase subunit ChlD, chloroplastic-like, with no coding region annotated. The record is from RefSeq and is a predicted model, not a curated record. NCBI's taxonomy places the organism in Eukaryota, Viridiplantae, Streptophyta, Magnoliopsida, Fabales, Fabaceae. The transcript has 12 exons.
UCAUUUUCACAAAUCCAUUAUCAACUUUUGCACGCAUGCAAAAAAAAACCCAUUUUCAGUAAACUCAUUUUCAAUUUUUUUUUCAACUCUGCAGUUUGAUUUCACGAAACUCAUAGCGAGAUUAAAGUUUGAUUUUACGAAACCCAUUUUCACGAAGUUUGCAGAAGAUUGCAAAACCCGUCACCGUUUCCUUCACUCUCAUUUCGAAAUUCGAACACUGAAACUCUUAUUUUAGGGUUCUUGUUGAGGGUAAGUCAUGGUGGCAAUUUUGUUCACUGCAAUUGGGGAAGUUGAGGGACAAAUUGAGUCGUGUUACGAUGAGAAAUUACCGGGAUCGGGAGAAAAAGAGAAACACAACGCUUCUGGAUUGAGUGGGUCUUUUCCUUUGCUUCUCUAAUAGUCAUAAGAUGUAGUGGUGACUUAUUUUUUCGAAUGAUGAGCUUUGUCCUCUUAACAUUUGUGGUCCAUCUUAAGGAGGAUAGUCGAAAAGUUACUAUAGUAGAAAAGGAUAACAAUUUUGACGUGUGUAGGGAUAUGAGUGGGCGGAGAUUGAGACAUGCUAAUGCUGACAAGAGGUUGGAGGAAUGGAGAGAUGGUGAUGGUGAGGAGGAUAGGAAGCUUGAGAAGGUUGAUGAGGAUUUUCUGAAGAAACAUAUUAAGAAAUUGAAGAUAUGGCAGUGGUUAACAAAAUAAGAUAGUGUAUGUUUGGUUGUAGUUACGGAGAAACUGAUUUUAUCUCCGUUCGUACUCUUCACCGCCGGUUGAACGGAUGACAAGGAUGAAGAGAAUGAACAACAGCAAGACCAAUUACCUGAAGAAUUUAUCUUUGAUGCUGAAGGGGGUUUGGUGGAUGAAAAACUUCUCUUCUUUGCCCAACAAGCACAGAGACGCGGUGGGAAGGCUGGAAGGGCAAAAAAUGUCAUAUUUUCAGAGGACAGAGGCCGAUACAUCAAGCCCAUGCUUCCAAAGGUAUCUAUAAUUCCAUUUCGUGGAGAUUCUGCUGAAGUUCUCCUGCCACCUUCUAGAUCAAUUGCAAUGGCAAGGAAACGUCUUGAAAGACUGCCAUGUGGUGGAGGGUCGCCACUUGCACAUGGUCUUACCACAGCUGUUACGGUCGGAUUAAAUGCAGAGAAAAGUGGUGAUGUUGGACGUAUAAUGAUUGUUGCAAUCACGGAUGGUCGAGCCAACAUAUCAUUGAAAAGGUCAAAUGACCCUGAAGCUGCUGCUGCUAGUGAUGCCCCUAAACCUACAUCGCAAGAAUUGAAGGAUGAAAUUAUUGAGGUGGCUGCAAAGAUAUAUAAAACAGGAAUGUCUCUCCUUGUCAUUGACACUGAAAACAAGUUUGUCUCAACGGGUUUCGCUAAAGAGAUUGCUAGAGUUGCUCAAGGGAAGUAUUAUUAUUUGCCAAAUGCUUCGGACGCAGUUGUCUCGAUGGCAACAAGGGAAGCUUUAGCAGCUCUGAAGAGUUCAUGAAACUGAAUGAGAAGCAACCAAGGUUAAUUCUGAUAGCAAACAAACAACAUCAUAAACUUCAUUCUAAAACAUAAGACACUACAUCAUAAAUCAGAUAAAAUAGUUGAAAUUUUCUCUAUAUCUUUAAGCCACAUUUCUCUGGGUGUUGUUUUCUGCGUCGUCUCAAGAAGUUUUUCCUUUUUUUUUCUUUCACUCUCCAUCCUCUGCAGGCUAUCAAUAUCAUCGUAGAAAGUGUUAAUAGGCAUAGAUAGAAGAUAGUUGUAAUCAUCACCGAGAAUAGGUUCUUUUGGGUUCUCUCCCAAUAAUUCUUCCUUUUCCAAUAAUUGUUCUUUUGGCUUCUCUUCCAAUAAUUUUUCCUUUUCCAAUAAUGGUUCUUUUGGCUUCUCUUCCGAUAAUUUUUUCUUGAACAAUUCUACUGCUGUCUUAAUAUCCCGAGACGGUUGCCACAAUUUUAUAAACUUGAUUUUGUGGUCCAGACUCUCCAUAUCACGUUUAAGUUGGUCCACCAUAGAAGUCUGCAUGGACAAGUUGAUUCAAUUCAUAUUAGUUUCGAGUACUAGGUAAAUUGAAGGUAAGAAGGAUGUUGAUGGCUAUUCGAUUAGUGAGGGGAAGCAUCCUAGAAAAUCUAGUAUCUCUGCUUAUGGUUCCAACGAGAAACAAGUUUGGGUCCAAAAAGCAAGUUCUGGGACCUAGAGUAUUUAGAUUGGUGAGACACAUUCCUUUCAUCUUGCCUAUAUAGUCUAGUGAUGUAGCUGCAUAUGAUAUAUGAUAUGGUUUUUUCUUUUUCUUUUUUCUUGUGGGCAGUGCCCAUUACAUUGAUUCCUUGCUGUGGAAGUUGUUAUAGUAUUUCAAUAAUUGAAUUAUCUUUACCAAGUCCGUUUCAUUCACAUGCUCAUGUAAAUGUUAGCUUAAUUUACUAUUCAUGUAAUUACUUGUGCCAAAGUUGACGAUUUUCCCUUGCAGUACUAAGCUUGCUGACAUACAAUUUUGGAGCACGCAUACAUUUGCUAGCCGCUGGAUUCUGUUUCUUAAAUCUAAAAUACAGAAGAUUCAGUAUUAUAGUACUAUUCUUUUUGUUGUGUUCAAAUUUCUUAUGAAAAUUUCAUCUGCAGCAGAUGCAAUAAUUUAUUUACUGAUAGUAAAACCUAAAAGAUCUUUUUGUUGUUCCGUAUUAUGCAGACAUUCUUGGAGCCAUUUUGCCUUGUAUAUCAGAUAAAGAAGAGAAAAUUAGAGUUGGACAGAAGCUCUCUUUGCCGACUUAGCCAAUUUUCCAGUCUCGUCGGUACAGAUUGCAUUUACUCUUCUUGUGUUUCCUUGCCUUCUUUUAGCGUAUUCUGGACAGGCGGCUUAUCUGGUGCAUAACUUGCAUCAUUCACAAGAUGUUUUUUAUCGCUCUAUUCCAG